GGCUGUAGCGCGGUGGUCCCACCUGACCCCAUGCCGAACUCAGAAGUGAAACGCCGUAGCGCCGAUGGUAGUGUGGGGUCUCCCCAUGCGAGAGUAGGGAACUGCCAG
RNAcentral lists this ribosomal RNA (108 nucleotides) under Pantoea ananatis. Lineage: Bacteria; Pseudomonadati; Pseudomonadota; Gammaproteobacteria; Enterobacterales; Erwiniaceae. RNAcentral also lists the same sequence under 2 other names. The record is from RNAcentral.